Molecule: non-coding RNA, 381 nt
Organism: Vicia faba (fava bean)
Lineage: Eukaryota; Viridiplantae; Streptophyta; Magnoliopsida; Fabales; Fabaceae
Source: the annotation of a GenBank genome assembly
AUAUUUUAUAAGAUAAAGUUUGGUGUGGAGAGGAGAAGGAAAAAAAUUGACGAAACGGAGGCGGAUCAAAUUUUUCCUUCAUCUUCAUCUUCAUCGUUACAACUCAUACCUACAACAUCAACAGCAACUACCUACAUCACGGUACUCACAACCGUAACCCCUUAUCUCUCGCGAAAUCACCAUACAUCCACAUGUCACAGCAAACCAGCAUCGUUCCCCUCCGUCUUAGCCGCACAAAUCCUUCAACUACCGUCACUAUCAUCAUAUCAGUUCAACAACACAGAGGAGUUUCUCCACCUCACGCUGAUUCUCUCUUCUGAAACAUCCGCUCGCCAUCUUCGCGGCUGUUUGAUGCAUAUUGUUCAGAAGAUAAUGAUGUAA